This 236-nucleotide ribosomal RNA is filed under the name uncultured bacterium. RNAcentral's name for it is "partial 16S ribosomal RNA". It matches the Rfam family "Bacterial small subunit ribosomal RNA", at positions 118 to 347 of the family's 1533-position model. The record is from RNAcentral.
UGAGCAAUCUGCCCUUCUCAUCGGAAUAAGCGUUGGAAACGACGUCUAAUGCCGAAUACGACCUCCUUUCGCAUGAUCGGGGGUGGAAAGCUCCGGCGGAGAAGGAUGAGCUCGCGGCCUAUCAGCUAGUUGGUGUGGGUAAUGGCCCACCAAGGCGACGACGGGUAGCCGGCCUGAGAGGGUGACCCGGCCACACUGGGACUGAGACACGGCCCAAACUCCGUACGGGAGNAGCG